ACUAUAAUAUAUUGCUAAUAAGAGUAUAAUGUGGUGCAACUCUGGGAGAGCAUUUUGGCAAUGUCUAUCAAAAUUAUGAAUGCAUCUGUUCUUGACCCGGCAACUUUACUUCAGGACUUCAGGAAAAAUAUUCUAAAGGUGCACCUACAUUCUCAUACAAAAUGAGCUGCUGACAGACUGCUCACCUUGGAUUGCUUUCCACCAGGUGUUAUCUUUACACCUAUUCUCUAAACUGCUAUAAUUUAGAGCAACACUGGGAAGAUGUGUAACACUACAAACCCAUGAUCACCAUUAUCAACUAAUAAUUCCAAUAAAUUUCUAUUGUCAUCCUUUC
Long non-coding RNA from Suricata suricatta (meerkat), 334 nucleotides. RefSeq lists it as uncharacterized. The record is from RefSeq and is a predicted model, not a curated record. Lineage: Eukaryota; Metazoa; Chordata; Mammalia; Carnivora; Herpestidae. The transcript has 2 exons.